AAAAGCUUCAAUUUGAUUCAAUCAAAUAAGCUUCUUACAUGAAUUCAUCGCAGUACAUGGAUAAGCAGAUCAUGGAUCUAUCGAAUUCACAGAACAGCAACAACAACAGUGACUUCAUCGAUCUCGUUAACCCUCAGGCGGAUCGUCACAUUAGCGGCGAUGAUCAGAAGAAAGAAGAUAUUGUUCCCAGUUACGAAUUUCAUCCAAUUCGCCCAAUUGGAUCUUCAUCGCCCAAAUCUAAUAUUGAU
Molecule: unclassified non-coding RNA, 248 nt
Filed under: Hevea brasiliensis (rubber tree)
Lineage: Eukaryota; Viridiplantae; Streptophyta; Magnoliopsida; Malpighiales; Euphorbiaceae
Source: RNAcentral